UACUAGAGUAGCACUCGCAUAUCAAUAAGCGGAGGAAAAGAAACUAACAAGGAUUCCCCUAGUAACGGCGAGUGAAGCGGGACGAGCUCAAAUUUGAAAUCUUAAAGGGUUUCCCUUUACGAAUUGUAGUUUAAAGAAGUGUUUUCUGUUGAGGUUUUGGUAAAAGUUCUUUGGAAUAGGACAUCAUAGAGGGUGAGAAUCCCGUAUUUGACCUUUACUUUCAACUUUGUGAUACACUUUCAAAGAGUCGGAUUGUUUGGGAAUGCAGUCCAAAAUGGGUGGUAAAUUUCAUCUAAAGCUAAAUAUUGACGAGAGACCGAUAGCGAACAAGUACCGUGAGGGAAAGAUGAAAAGAACUUUGAAAGGAGAGUUAAACAGUACGUGAAAUUGUCAAAAGGGAAGCGUUUGACACCAGUGUUGUUUUUCUGAAAAUCAAUUAAAGAACUGUUUAUGCUAAGCUGUUUAGACUUUAUCAGCUAUCUGUUUAGUUUUGAGCUUUUCUUUAAUGCACUUUUCAGUUAACAAGUCAACAUCAAUUUCUUUUGCUGUAAAAAAGCUUGAGGAAGGUGGCUUGAGAUUCGUCUUAAGUGUUUAUAGCCUCUUGCCUAUGCAGUCGGAGAGAUUGAGGUCUGCAGCGUAGAUCCUUCGGGGCUGAAUGCAUUUGUGCUAAGUUAUAGCAUUUUAUAGACAACUUGUUGACUAUGAUUUGUCUUGUAGCUUACUCGCUUAUGUUAUUUUACCUACGCUUAGGAUGUUGAACUACUGAGACAUAGA
This 774-nucleotide ribosomal RNA is filed under the name uncultured Neocallimastigales. RNAcentral's name for it is "partial large subunit ribosomal RNA". It matches the Rfam family "Eukaryotic large subunit ribosomal RNA", at positions 20 to 644 of the family's 3401-position model. Lineage: Eukaryota; Fungi; Neocallimastigomycota; Neocallimastigomycetes; Neocallimastigales. The record is from RNAcentral.